GUUUUUCUCCUGUAUGACACCUCUUUAAAAGACUUAAACUACAGUUGUCAAUUAACUACAAAAAGAGGGAGGACAUAUUCUCUAGACCAUGAUGAGAGUAUGAAUGUAGGAGGCAGGAGGAAAUGAGCUGCCAGAAGCUGAAUGGCGUUGUCUCCCACUUCUGACUUCCUGGAGGAGCAUGGAGUUAUGCAUGUGUCAGCAGCACGGAAUCCAUUACACGGGGAACAAAAAACAUGUCCUGUUGGUAUGGAGUAGGCAAAGCAGAAGGAUCCAGCCCCAG
This 280-nucleotide long non-coding RNA is filed under the name Gallus gallus (chicken). The record is from RNAcentral. Lineage: Eukaryota; Metazoa; Chordata; Aves; Galliformes; Phasianidae.